RNAcentral lists this unclassified non-coding RNA (339 nucleotides) under soil metagenome. RNAcentral describes it as "partial contains 5.8S ribosomal RNA, internal transcribed spacer 2, and large subunit ribosomal RNA". The stretch from base 1 to 120 matches the Rfam family "5.8S ribosomal RNA", at positions 35 to 154 of the family's 154-position model. The record is from RNAcentral.
GAUGAAGAACGCAGCGAAAUGCGAUAAGUAGUGUGAAUUGCAGAAUUCAGUGAAUCAUCGAAUCUUUGAACGCACAUUGCGCCCCUUGGUAUUCCAUGGGGCAUGCCUGUUCGAGCGUCAUCUACACCCUCAAGCUCUGCUUGGUGUUGGGCGUCUGUCCCGCCCCCGCGCGUGGACUCGCCCCAAAUCCAUUGGCAGCGUUCCUUGCCCCCUCUCGCGCAGCACAUUGCGCUUCUCGAGGGCGGCUCGCGGGACGCGAUCCAGCAAGAUGACCACCGUCUUUGACCUCGGAUCAGGUAGGGAUACCCGCUGAACUUAAGCAUAUCAAUAAGCGGAGGA